UUAAAUCUCAUUUACCUCGUUUAUGUGCUACAGUGCACUGGAAAAAUAGUGGCACCUUGAUGCGUUCCUACCCAGUUGGAUGAGAUAACCAGGUGGGAUCGGAAUAUAAAGGUUAAUUCACUUCCCUACUGAUAAUACAAUCAUUACAAACUUUAGCAAGUGUUUUAUACAAAAUGUUGUAUAAAGUAUCCUUUGCCUCUUCAGUCCGACUUGUCAAAACGAUAUAUCUGUGCGUAACCCGAUUUUGUAUCAUUAUUAUUUGUCCUUUCGGCCUGAACACAUCAAAAUUUGUUGUCCAGUCUCAAAUUAUAUCUUUUUGUUCGGUUCAAAAACCUUUACGAAUUAAUCAUGUGCUGCGGACCCUGUGGACCCUGUUGCGGACCUUGCUGCGGACCCUGCUGUGGUCCAUGCGGACCAUGCGGCGGCGGAUGUGGACCCUGCUAUGGACCGAAUGUCUGCGGACCAUGCUAUGCCUGUGGACCCUGUGGCGGCUGCUACUGUGGAUACCCUUGCUGCUAGACAGUUGCCCAAGAAGGGUUCAGCAGAACCCUUAGUCAUCCUCGUAUUCAUCUUAUAUUCGUGAACCCCACAAAUGAGUAUUUGAGACAAUAAAAAUGAAGUGUCCGCUUCAA
Drosophila simulans is the source of this 632-nucleotide long non-coding RNA. RefSeq lists it as uncharacterized. The transcript is spliced from 2 exons. The record is from RefSeq and is a predicted model, not a curated record. Lineage: Eukaryota; Metazoa; Arthropoda; Insecta; Diptera; Drosophilidae.